This is a long non-coding RNA of Rosa chinensis, 1147 nucleotides long. RefSeq lists it as uncharacterized. Lineage: Eukaryota; Viridiplantae; Streptophyta; Magnoliopsida; Rosales; Rosaceae. The transcript has 3 exons. The record is from RefSeq and is a predicted model, not a curated record.
CACCUCCAUUUCACAAACUGCAUCGCAAUGCAUUGAACUGCAGCAGAGAGAAUCAACCUCAGGAAAACACCAAAGGGCGUCGAUCCGAGGAUGGAGACGAGAAGUUUCGACGAAGCCUGCCAAGAUUGAUUGAGAGGGAGGAAGGAUAAGACAAGAUCGGGCCGGUUCGGAGAUAGACUCCAGGCAAAACCCGCCGGUUGGAAGUAAACGGAAAGGAGAAAACCGAGAAAAGCUGGAAAUUAAAGACUCCCCCAACUCUCAGGCCAAGAUCCAAAUCAAAAAGACCAAGAUCGAGCAAGAGGGGGAGGAGAAGGAAAACUAUACUGAUGGGUUUUCUAGAGAGAAGGCAGAGGAAAAGUCCCUAGAGAGAGAAAGCGGUAUAAAUAGCUACCUAGAACUUGAAAAGCUAAUUUCUAAUGUUGGCCACGGAUCUGGAUUUAGUUGGUAAUUUUCAAUUUAUUUGAAUGAAUUCGAGUCAAUUUGUCAAGUCCAAUUGAGGAAUCAAGUAACUGAGACCUAUUUACUUAUUAGGAUUUGGAUGGGUAAGUGUCUUUGGACAUUAUUGUUGAUGCAAAGGAUUGCAUAUUGCAUCGCUCUGUGUCGGUGUGCAUUAGUUUUGUCUGUGGUUAACCAAACAAAUGCCUUACCAUAUGCAGUUAUGCACAUUAACCCUGAGCUCCUGGAGGCACUGCAUCUGAUAUGUGCCAUGCUGCUGGAAGUGCCCCCCAACAUGGCAGCUAACAUCUUUGAUGCAAAGCGCAGAGUGAUUAGUAAGACAUUCAGGGCUUUUGUCAAUGGCAAAUGCUGGUCCAGACACCAAUGGUUCACAAUUCUUCAUCACCACUGUGACAACUAGUUGGUAACAAGAGCAUCAAAGAUGUCAAGAUCCAAUAUAAAUGUAGGUCAAUUCAGAACUGGAGUUUAGUUGUUUUGGGGGAGAGAAUGCAAUACUUACUGCGUUUUGGGUGUUGUUGAUAUAUUGUUGGACAUUUGAACUUUAAGAGUUCAAUGGAAAAAAUAUAAGGAUUGUGUGAUUACUAUUCUAUUGUAUUAUUUAGGGUUUUUAUCACGUCAAAACUUUAUUGCACCGGACAGAAUGAUACCCAAUUUUCAAAAGUGAUUAAAGAGAUACUUAGACUUAUAAAAA